RNAcentral lists this ribosomal RNA (198 nucleotides) under uncultured bacterium. RNAcentral's name for it is "partial 16S ribosomal RNA". It matches the Rfam family "Bacterial small subunit ribosomal RNA", at positions 328 to 539 of the family's 1533-position model. The record is from RNAcentral.
ACGCUCGACACCUACGGGAGUCAGCAGUGGGGAAUAUUGCACAAUGGGGGAAACCCUGAUGUAGCGACGCCGCGUGAAGGAAGAAGUAUCUCGGUAUGUAAACUUCUAUCAGCAGGGAAGAAAGUGACGGUACCUGACUAAGAAGCCCCGGCUAACUACGUGCCAGCAGCCGCGGUAAUCUGAGCGGGCUGGCAAGGC